UAACGACUUUCGGCAACGGAUAUCUCGGCUUUAGCAUCGAUGAAGAACGUAGUGAAAUGCGAUACUUGGUGUGAAUUGCAGAAUCCCGUGAACCAUCGAGUCUUUGAACCCAAGUUGCGCCCGAAGCUUCACGGCUGAGGGCACGUCUGCCUGGGCGUGAAG
This 162-nucleotide ribosomal RNA is filed under the name Opuntia puberula. RNAcentral's name for it is "5.8S ribosomal RNA". It matches the Rfam family "5.8S ribosomal RNA". Rfam says of the family: 5.8S ribosomal RNA (5.8S rRNA) is a component of the large subunit of the eukaryotic ribosome. It is transcribed by RNA polymerase I as part of the 45S precursor that also contains 18S and 28S rRNA. The record is from RNAcentral. Lineage: Eukaryota; Viridiplantae; Streptophyta; Magnoliopsida; Caryophyllales; Cactaceae.